Long non-coding RNA from Solenopsis invicta (red fire ant), 857 nucleotides. RefSeq lists it as uncharacterized. The record is from RefSeq and is a predicted model, not a curated record. NCBI's taxonomy places the organism in Eukaryota, Metazoa, Arthropoda, Insecta, Hymenoptera, Formicidae. The transcript is spliced from 5 exons.
ACGCGGCGGAUGCGGGCGGAUUGGAGCGGGCGGCGUUACAAAUUUGUAUUUAACAGAACGCAAUGGACGCGAGACGGACUGGCUCCGGAACGGAGGCGUCAUUGCGGCUCGUUUUUAAUAAAAAGCCGUGAACACUCUUACAAAACGCGGAAUGGAGUGGGUCCGAAAUGAGUGGCAUCGCGACUUCAAUUGAAUGCGGCAGAUGCGAGACAGACGUGCUCCAGAACAACGCAACUUAUUUUCACAAUUUGUGAAAAGAAGAAAGAAGAGAGAAGAAGUUGGACAAUUACUCAAAAUAAGAGGCCUAGGAGAAGUAUCGGUGGAGCAACUUAGCGAAUCAUCGUAGCCACGUUGCUGACAACUCCACUAUUGCGCAUCGGAAUGGUGAGUGAUAAACAACUUUAAUAAUGAGAUAACGAAUCUAUGAAAAAUAUAUUAAAUAGUAUAUAAAUUAUAUUUGAAAUAAGUUAAAACUUCAUGGAUUUGUUACUAUAAAAUGGAUAAACUUCAAAAUAUUAUAAAAAAUGCUUAAUCUCGAACUCAUCUUUUAUUAUUUGUUAAUUUAGUCUAUUAUUGUGCCUGAGGUUAACUUGCAUAGGCAUACAUGUAAAAAAAUAAAUAAAUUUCACUAGUUAUAUUAUUUAUCAGAGUAAAAUAAAAAAUAAUUAAAUUUUCAAGUCAAAGUAAAACAAAGUAAAGUUGCUCUUUCAUUAUAAACAAUGUGGAAAUCAGAAAAUAACUUAUAUAUUUUUUUUAUUUUAAUAAAAAUAUUUCAAUACAUAGGAAAAAAUUAUUGAAACAGUUAAGUUGUCGUUUAAUCAAAUUGCAGAAAUAAAUAGCAAAUAAUAUAAGAAAUA